This 461-nucleotide ribosomal RNA is filed under the name uncultured bacterium. Its description in RNAcentral is "bacterial SSU rRNA". It matches the Rfam family "Bacterial small subunit ribosomal RNA", at positions 917 to 1382 of the family's 1533-position model. The record is from RNAcentral.
GGGCCCGCACAAGCAGUGGAUUAUGUGGUUUAAUUCGAAGCAACGCGAAGAACCUUACCAGGGCUUGACAUCCUCUGACCGCUCUAGAGAUAGAGCUUCCCUUCGGGGCAGAGAGACAGGUGGUGCAUGGUUGUCGUCAGCUCGUGUCGUGAGAUGUUGGGUUAAGUCCCGCAACGAGCGCAACCCCUAUGGUCAGUUGCCAUCAUUUAGUUGGGAACUCUGGCCAGACUGCCGUGGACAACACGGAGGAAGGUGGGGACGACGUCAAAUCAUCAUGCCCCUUAUGUCCUGGGCUACACACGUAAUACAAUGGCAACGACAGAAGGCAGCGACCCCGCGAGGGUGAGCGAAUCCCCAAACGUUGUCUCAGUUCGGAUUGCAGGCUGCAACUCGCCUGCAUGAAGUCGGAAUUGCUAGUAAUGGCAGGUCAGCAUACUGCCGUGAAUACGUUCCCGGGCCUU